This 301-nucleotide ribosomal RNA is filed under the name uncultured bacterium. RNAcentral describes it as "partial 16S ribosomal RNA". It matches the Rfam family "Bacterial small subunit ribosomal RNA", at positions 509 to 807 of the family's 1533-position model. The record is from RNAcentral.
CAGUAGCCGCGGUAAUACGUAGGUGGCAAGCGUUGCCCGGAAUUAUUGGGCGUAAAGGGCUCGCAGGCGGUUUCUUAAGUCUGAUGUGAAAGCCCCCGGCUCAACCGGGGAGGGUCAUUGGAAACUGGGAAACUUGAGUGCAGAAGAGGAGAGUGGAAUUCCACGUGUAGCGGUGAAAUGCGUAGAGAUGUGGAGGAACACCAGUGGCGAAGGCGACUCUCUGGUCUGUAACUGACGCUGAGGCGCGAAAGCGUGGGGAGCAAACAGGAUUAGAUACCCCGGUAGUCCCUGUCUCUUAUAC